AUACGAAGGUGGCAAGCGUUGUUCGGAAUCACUGGGCUUAAAGCGCACGCAGGCGGAACAGAAAGUGUCUUGUGAAAGCCCCCGGCUUAACCGGGGAAUUGCUUGGCAAACUUCUGUUCUUGAGGCAAGUAGAGGUACAUGGAACUCUUGGUGGAGCGGUGGAAUGCGUAGAUAUCAAGAGGAACGCCAAUGGUGAAGACAGUGUACUGGGCUUGUCCUGACGCUGAGGUGCGAAAGCGUGGGGAGCGAACGGGAUUAGAAACCCCAGUAGUCC
This 274-nucleotide ribosomal RNA is filed under the name uncultured bacterium. Its description in RNAcentral is "partial 16S ribosomal RNA". It matches the Rfam family "Bacterial small subunit ribosomal RNA", at positions 523 to 796 of the family's 1533-position model. The record is from RNAcentral.